Molecule: long non-coding RNA, 2998 nt
Filed under: Mus musculus (house mouse)
Lineage: Eukaryota; Metazoa; Chordata; Mammalia; Rodentia; Muridae
Description: SOX2 overlapping transcript (Sox2ot)
Rfam family: SOX2 overlapping transcript exon 3 (bases 267-538)
Source: RNAcentral
CCUGCUCAGGGCUGACUGUGGCAGGGGACACUCUCCUGCUGGCUCUCUCUGUCCACACUUAGCUGGCUCCUGUCCUCAGGUGCACGGCCACACCCUCGCACCCAACCUUGAUCCUCUGAUGGGGAAGGUCCCAGGACUUGUCUGCUGGGACAGGCCUCACCCCCAAGAGCUCUGGGCAGUACCGAGAAGCAAACCUGACAGAUUUCUCCAGAACAGUGGCCAUCCAUGGGAUGAGUGAAAGCCUCUUUCUAUUCCAGGGAUUGCAGAGGCAAAGCUAGACUAGGUCUUGGAGGCUGGUGUAAGGUGGUGCGCGGAAGGCAGGACGCUGAUGGGAGAGACUGGUCGAAGAAAAGCCUAAAUGGAUUCUCCGUGCUUUGGAUGGAGAAAGAGGGGGGAAGUGCGAGCUCCUUCAACUCGUUCUGUCCGGUGAGGAGUGAUCCAGCUUGGGCUGACGAGAGGCUCCGGAGCCUUCACGUUCAGUGCUUUUUACCUGCCAAUCAAACUGCUACAAGACAACACCCUGAUCUGGCAUGGUCGCCGCGGGUCCAAGCCUGUAGUCCCAAAUCGGAAAAUCUCUGCAGCUGGUACACGCAAAAGAGAAGCCAGGCAACAGACAUAUUACAGAAGAAAGCUCUCAACUCCGAGAUCGAACCUAGAAAUUGUACUUUCCUCAAGAUCCGCUUAAGAGAAUCUGGUUGAUGGCUUUGGUCUGAGAGUUCAGACAUCUCUUGUGCAACUAAGAAAGACCUCAUUUUCCAUUUGCUGGAUCCUCCUGGUUUGUCAUCCCUGAGUCCUGUAAGAAGCUCAUCAGGAGGUCCCCUGCGCCGGAAGGACCAUGUGAGCUCAUCCCAGAUGAUGGGUGGCACCAUGGUUUUAGCAGCUCACACAGUGGAGAACCACAUUUGCUCUGGAAGAGCUUAGCAACAUGUAUUUGAUAACACAACAAGGUCAGCUUGAGCUCUAUCCUUCUGUGGCCAUACUGAACAAAAGGAGAGACAGACAGACAGACAGACAGACAGACAGGCAGGCAGGCAGGCAAGCAGACAGAGGCAGAGACAGGCAGACAGAGACAGAGAAACAGAGAAAUGAUUCCUGAAUUAUUUUUAAAAAUUAAUUUUAAAAUUCAGAUCAAUUAAUCAGUAAUACAUGCCUGUAGUCUCAGCCCUAGAACAGAUCAAACAGGAGAGUCUCAAGACUAAGGUCAGCCUGGACCACUGGUGACUGUUUCAAAGAAAACAAAUUACCAUUUGGGCAUAAUGGCACACGCCUUUUAAUUCCAGUCCUUGGGAGGCAGAGGCAAGUGGGUCUCUGAGUUCGGGACCAGCCUAGUCUACAGAGUGAGUUCCAGGUCAGCCAGGGCUAUACAGAGAAACCUUAUCUCAAACCAGCCAACAAAACCCACAGCAAACCGAAAACAGGUUAUCCUUUAAAAAGACGAUUUAGCUGGGCAGUGGUGGCACAUGCCUUUAAUCCCAGCACUUGGGAGGCAGAGGGAGGUGGGUUUCUGAGUUCGAGGCCAGCCUGGUCUACAAGGUGAGUGCCAGGACAGCCGGGACUAUACAGAGAAACCCUGUCUCAAAAAAAAAACAACAACAACAACAACAACAAAAAAGACAAUUUAGCCAGAUAUGAUGGCUCAUGCCUUUAAUCCCAGCACUUGCAAGGUAGACACAGGCAGCGAGUUCAAAUCUAUCCAGGUCUAUAUAUUGAAUUCCAGGACACCCAGGGGUACAGAUUAGAGAGACUUCAUGUUUAACAACACACACACACACACACACACACACACACACACACACCCCACUAUGUGAAUACACAGGUUUAUGUGCAUCCUAUCCCAGAGAGCCUGUGGUGAUUAUAAAACAGUAAAAAUAGGGCACAGUAGACAGCACCUUCGAGAUCAGCUUAGAACACUUACCUGUCACUUCUGUGUCACUUUUGGUGUGGCAGUUAUUAUAUUUCUAUAAUUCAUCUUUUGAGGGAGGCUCAGAAUCGGUAUGAAAUGAUAUAUGUUUACCUCUUUACUCUGUGAAUCAGGCUCUCAUAUAGUCUAAGCUGGCCUUGAACUCCUGGUAUAGCAGAGGGUGGCCUUGAUCUGGGAGCAAAGGUGCUGUCAUUUCCAGCAGAGAAAUGAUAUCUAGACCAAAGACACAGUUUUUAUUAUAUAGCCAAUGCUUCUUUAAAUGCCUGGCAACCCUCCCUUCUGCAGUGCUUGAUGGUGUGUUACUGAAGGAGUUUUCCUAAACACCAGCACAAAUGAACGGGCACACAUCAAGCAUACAAGACCUGGAGGAGGGAGGGGGCCCUGCCGAUUCCUCAGAUGCAGUGAUGGAUGAGAAAAGUAAGGGUGGACCAGAGCAGCCACAGCAUUGAAAGUCUGUGGUUUCAUUUCACAGAAGUAGUUGUUCAGCUCUGUACUUGGUUUGCCAUUGGCAGUGUUGUAUAGGGGGCUGAGGCUCAAACCCAGGCCCUUACCACUAGGGACUGUCAUUCUUAGCCUUCCAACCUUAAAAACAAACAAAACAACAACAACAAAAACUUAUUUUGAUUUUCAUUUAAUUUCAUAUUGCACCCAGGAACUAUUUUAAGAAAUCUUGUGUCAUAACCUGUGACCAAAAGUUAAGUAGCAGUUUUCCUAAUGUGUCUGCGUUUGCUAUAAAGAAUUGAAACUGAGCCAGGCAGUGUUGGUGCAUGCCUUUAGUCUCAGCACUUGGGAGGCAGUAGCAGAUGGAUUUCUGAGUUCGAGGCCAGCCUGGUCUACAGAGUGAGGACAGGACAGCCAGGGCUAUACAGAGAAACCCUAUCUCCAAAGCCGGAACAAAAAAAGGUUUGAAACUGUGUGAGUAUUUUCAUUGUCUGGCACUUUAUAACAGGUCUUAUUUGGUAUUGACAUUGGUAUUUGGAAUGAGCAUUUGAAGGUUUUAAAAGCUUCAGUAUUUAUUUUGUUCUAAAAUAAAGUACCUUUUCCCUCUGAAAAAAAAAAAAAAAAAAAAAAAAAAAA